UUUCUUUUCCCUGGAAGUGUGGGUAAUCGACAUCUGCAUUUUUACAGAACAGCUAAUCCAGUUAUUUCUCUUUUUUUUUCCCCCACUAUUGUUAAAUUUGUUAGUAUUGUGACUGCUGAGACAUUUUGUCUGGUUGGAGAUUAAAUAUUAGAGUUAAAAAUGCAAAUGUCUAAGGAAUAGUAGGUAUGUUGUGCUUUAAUGCUUUGUGGCAGGUUCCUAGAGUUUGUACCACAGGUGUAUGAAUGGAUGGUGUAUUAAAUGAUAAAUAAGUGAGAGAAAAAUCACUCGCAAUCUUUGUCUCUUUCUGUUGGGGCCAGUUUCUUGUUAUACUUAGAACGCUGGAAUUAAUAUCUGCUUUUGAAAACUUGUUCUAAAUUGUUCCAUUUUUCAUAGAACAGAAAACAGCUGAGUGAUUGAGAAGCAGCUUCCCCUGAAAGAGAGAAGUACAUUUUCUCUCUCUAAGGCCAUGUCUACACUAGCACUUUUGUCAGUAUAAACGAUGUCACUCAUGGGUGUGAAUAAAACCGCAUCCUGAGCAACAUAAGUUACCCCAACAGAAGAGCCUGUGUGGAUAACGCUAUGUUGGCUGGAGACGCUUGUUUGAGGUAGUUUAAUUAUGUCGACGAGAGCUCUCUCCCAUUGGCAUAGAGCGGCUACACGAGCGAUCUUACAGUGGCACAGCUCAAUCGGUACGCUAGCUAGUGUAGACAUGGCCGAAGAAACGAGACCGUGGAUGCACUGCUAAAUGAACUUUGUCCAGCUAGUUCACUCUCUCUCGUUUACACUUCGUGGUCCUUACGUCUUUCCCGAGGUCUGUUUUAAACUGGCUGGGGUCUUCCUAUUUUUAAAAAUGCAAAGAAAAAGUGGCAGAUUGUGCCUUAAACAUCAGUUUUGCUCAGCAAUACCACAAAAUAAGAGUGUCAGUGUCCCAUUCUUUGUGAGAAGUUUUGUCAGAACAAAAUAUAUUUUGUAUUUGCCAUUCAGAAUAUCCAGGCAUUCAUUCCUCACACAUCCUGUGUGUUAUCUACUCCGGUAGAAAUAUACCAGUCUUUGUUCUAAA
This is a long non-coding RNA of Gopherus flavomarginatus (Mexican gopher tortoise), 1060 nucleotides long. RefSeq lists it as uncharacterized. The record is from RefSeq and is a predicted model, not a curated record. Lineage: Eukaryota; Metazoa; Chordata; Testudines; Testudinidae. The transcript has 2 exons.